RNAcentral lists this ribosomal RNA (397 nucleotides) under uncultured bacterium. RNAcentral's name for it is "partial 16S ribosomal RNA". It matches the Rfam family "Bacterial small subunit ribosomal RNA", at positions 360 to 774 of the family's 1533-position model. The record is from RNAcentral.
AAUCUUGCGCAAUGGGCGAAAGCCUGACGCAGCCAUGCCGCGUGAAUGAUGAAGGUCUUAGGCUUGUAACAUUCUUUCACCGGGGACGAUAAUGACGGUACCCGGAGAAUAAGCCCCGGCCAACUUCGUGCCUGCAGACGCGGUAAUACGAAGGGGGCUAGCGUUGCCCGGAAUUACUGGGCGUAAAGGGAGAGUAGGCGGACAUUUAAGUCAGGGGUGAAAUCCCAGAGCUCAACUCUGGAACUGCCUUUGUUACUGGGUGUCUUGAGUGUGAGAGAGGUAUGUGGAACUCCGAGUGUAGAGGUGAAAUUCGUAGAUAUUCGGAAGAACACCAGUGGCGAAGGCGACAUACUGGCUCAUUACUGACGCUGAGGCGCGAAAGCGUGGGGAGCAAACA